CGAAAGUAGAUAAUAAGUGAGACAAGCACCCAGUAAAUGUUUAUGAUGUGACACUGACAAAUUAUGGGCUGCUAUAAUCAAGAUAGCAUUAAAAAUUUUAAAGUGUUUGUAUGAACAAACCAUUUUGGAAGGAGUGUUUGGUGUGGCAGUGAGCAAAACAACCCAGUAACUAUGGCAGUUAGUGUUAAAGCUCUGAUUUUGACAUGAAAGGAAUAAAAAUGGAAGUCCAGCUAAAUCACAAGUGUCCUGGAGAAACUUGGAUGAGUUUCUUGGCUAGAGGUUUUUCCCACCACAGUAAGUAUUUUCAAAGGAAAACAAAGUAAAAUUUUUCUCUUGUAUGAGUCACAUCUCUGUUGGUUGUAAGUGGCUGAAACUCAUCUUGAACUACCAAGGUAAGAGAAGAAACAUACUGGUUAAUGGAAUUCCAGAAAGGACUGAACAAUCAAACCAUUUUGAAGGACAGCAUAGAGCUGGACUCUAGAACAGCCAAAACAAGGGGUUAAACCACUGCGAGGGAUCUCUCUCCAACUCUUGCUCAGGCUUUUCUCCCUGGCUUGACUUUCUUCUCUUUCACUGUAGAUUGGCUUCUCUCACAUGGCAAGAAACAUUGCUGCUAGCACUUCCCGAGUUCUACGUUCUACAACAUCCACCACUGUUUACCUGAAAUAUUUUCCAAAAAGCAAUCAAUGUGAGAAAAUGAGAGCCCUGUCUUCUUAAAAAAAUGAGUAAAAGUCCACAAGUUCAGAACAAAAGAAAAUGAGGUAAGGCCUAAAAUAAAUUGUGCUAAGAAAGCUAAAAUUCUAGACAAAGUCACAUCGGCAAAACUAGAAGGUUGGUACUGUGCUUCAGUUUACUGCUUGCUGUUUGGUUAAGAGGAGGGGUGAUGUGAUAAAAAUAGUGACGAAGUGAGAAAACUGACGUAUUAGUUUUCUAUUGCAUUAUAACAAGUCACCACAAACUUAGAGGUUUGAAAUAACGCCCAUGUAUUAUCUCGCAGUUCCUGUGUGUCAGACCUCCAGGCACUGCGUGGCUCGGCUGGGUUCUCUGCUUAGAAUCUCACAGGUCAAAAUCAAAGUAUCAAUGGGAGCUGCAGUUCUCCCAAGCUGGAGCCUGUGUCCCUUUUAAACUCUCAGGCUGCUGGCAUAAUUUAUUUCCUUAUCAAGCCAUCCAUAUGAUCCCCUCCAUCUUCAGGCCAGCAAUGGCCUGUCAAAUCCUUCUCAUUCUUUGAAAAUCUCUGACUUCCCUUUCUGUCACAGCUCUGUAACUUCUUUUCUCUUCUGCCACCAGCAGAAGAGGCUUUUAAGAGUUUAUGGGAUUAGAUUACAUCCGUCUGGAUAAUCUUUUACUUAAAGGUCAACUAUGCUAUAUAACAUAGCCAAUCACAUUCGCACAUUGCAGAGACUAGGGUAUAAAAUCUUCGGGGUCAUUCCUAGAAAUUCUGCCUGCUGCAGCCUGGUUUCUUGCUUGGACUCUAGUAUAUAUUUGCUAAAUCUCCCAAGCCUCAGUCUCACUAUUUGCAAAAGUGAGUUUUAAUGCUCUUUGCCCUGCUUGCCUCACAGGAUCUUAACAUAGACGUAAGAUCAAAUGCAAUAGCAUGUCAAACAAUGUGUAACUCCAGUUAUACAAACAUUACUGUAUCUCAUUGGGGAUACGAAGCUCUACACACUUGAAGAUGGUGAAGGAAUAUAAAAAUGUAAGUAUUGCUUUUAUAAUAAAUGUGUUCCUAUUGGCUGAAAAUUUCAAUAUCUGAUACAAAUAGUCAACUUUCUAUUUUACUUUUUCUAAUUAUGCAAGACCUUGUAAUCACAAAUGUAAAAAUUGCAAGCCACAUGCCCCUAAGGCCAAAUAAAAAUUUGUAAAAUUCUCUUAAAAAGACUCUAUAGAGUCCAAAUGAAAAUACGUCGAGUCCUUUUAAAAGGAUCCAACCACAUAUAUCAACUGAUAUACAUGGUACCAAAAACAAUGGAAUCUUUUCAGAUUCUCUAAUUGGCCUUUGGAACUUAUGUAGCAUCAGGUAUGCAAAUGAACAACUUCAGACCUUGAUUACUCCAACCUCCUCUCCCACUGUCACAGCCACUUCUGUCAUGACCUAGUUGUUCUCAGAAAGUUCCCUCUUAUACCUGGUCAAACUUCUCUUACAAUCACCUGUGACUUUCCCUCUUGGUCUUGGAUCAAAUCAUCCUAAAUACAUUAAAAGUCCUGAUUCUUCCUGUCCCUUAAAUAUAUCUCUACUUGAAUCACUGUGUUAGUUCAGGUCCUCUGAGAGAAAGAUGUUAAGAUGAAAUUAGAUGUGCAAGAGAUUCGCCGAGGUAAACCUUGUGGGAGAAAAUGGAGAGGUACAUAGAGGAGCCUGGGCAGACUGUGUGGCUACUAUGUAAGACUCAUCCCCAUGAAGGAGAAAGGAGAGGAAGGCAAAGAAGAAAAACCUUAAGAUUUCAAUUCUAAGAACGUUUUGACAAAGCUGAUUAGGAGUAUUUAAGGCAAAGCUGCCCACCAGAAGAGUACUGCAUCUUUCAGGAACGGACUUGCUUUAGUACAUCUGCUGUGCUUAGUAAUUGGCUGGGAGCAGCCAUAGAAAGCAUGGACUCAGUACAAACUUGGUGAUGAAUUUCAGAGGCAGCGGCUAAGACCAUCAGUCUAUUAUUUUCCUUGCAAUAGCUGUCAUAAUUACUAUCAGAGCAAACAAUUUUUUGUGUGUGAAUUCAUGAGAUAAUGGUCUUUUCUUUCCUGCUUUCAAGAGCCAUGUCAUUGAAAGAGCUAAUCAUUCAAAUUUAUGCUGCAUUACUGACUAAAUACUUUCAUUUAUCAUACUUUAUUUUAAAAUACUUUAACUCAUGGCCCGAUGAUUUUCAGUUAACCAAAUUCUCCCUUACUAUCCUGGUUGCCCCUUCUGUCUUUUCCUUAGAAAUGUUAUUGUAGUAUUUGCAAGAUGGCCUGAAUCCUGAACCCCCCAUCUUCAAUGAGCACCAAAUGGUAAUUAUAGAUUCCCAGCUGUAGAGCUAUGUCAGACAAAGGAAACUUCAUUAGUAUGUACCAAUGUUUGGACUCCAAAUGCUUUUGUGUCUGAGUCACAAGGACUCCUCUUCCUUGGUGGCUUAAAGUUAGGCUGAAGAAGAUUUACAUUAUGUUGUGCAUGACCUCUUUAGUUUGGUUCUACUUAUACUUUCAAGGAGGGAAGACUGGGGAAGGUGUCCCUUAGUGAGCAUAUUUUGUACAAAUGAAAACAGGGUACUAACACUUAUGCCAGGACGCAUGCAUAAACUAGGAUGGUUCUGAGAAAACUGCGAUAUAUGAUCACUCCAGGGUCUCCCCUCUCAGAAGCGAGGGAGACUUAAACCUUUUACAUCACCAAGUACAUGGAAAGAAAGACAGCAGGGAAGUGAUUCCGAAGAGAAACCUGAAAAAAGCAAUGUGGAAAGAUAGACACUUUAGCCUUUUCUUUCUUCUCAAAACUUCACAUUCCUUUUCACUCUGCUUCACUUAAGCUGCCCUAGUUCCAGAGUGUUUCCUCUCUUGGGUGAAGAUGGGAACAAGUACAUGGGGUAGCAAGGGGUGGGUGGGACCUGUGCUCCCAUUAAGGUUCUUCCAGAAUCAUUUCUAUGUGAUUAUCAGCUUGGAUCACAUGGACUUGGGGAUUAUUGGUGGUUUUCUAGGGUAAACAGGGCAUAUUGUGCUGGAGGACAUAUUUUAUAUGUAACAAUUUGGGGAAAUUUUCUUUUAUAUUAAAUAAAACUGAGAUAUGUAAUGAAUUAGGAUGAAAAAUUCAUAUUCAUCUGAAUUUUAUAAGUGAAUCAUGAGAACUCAAAGAUACUUAGCCCUUGGGACCAUUUUUUACUCCUGUUCGGAUCCCUUCAGCUAAGCAUGAUUAUUUACUAUUUUCAGCUAUUAGUUAUGUCUUGUUGAAAAAGUAUGAAAAGAGCUGCCCAAUAAAUUAGAGUGUAUGCUCAACAUUCUCUUAGCUUCUUUAUCUCUUUCCAAAAUUGGAUCAAAUGACAUUGGACAUGAUCAACUUCUUACUGUUUUGACAAACAUCUGAGGAUACUUUUAUAAUUGAUAAUUUGGACUAGAUUAUGCAAUGUGUGAUGAGACACAAGGUAGUCUGUACUCCCCAUGAUAUGUAUAUCUGUUUGAUAUACUCAAACGGUGUAUAUCAAACGGAUAUAAGUUUGAGUAGGUAUGGAGAUGAGCCAGGGUUUAUUUCUUCAACUAGUAUUUACUGAAUGGUCUUAUGUGCCACAACUGUUCUGGAAACUGUGAUACAUUAAUUAACAGAUAAAGCCUUUCCCUCACAAUGCAUAACAGACCCAACAGAGUAUGAAUGUACAUACAAACUAGUAAAUAAGAAAACAAAUAAAAGUAUUCAGAUAGUGCUAUAACUACUGGGAUGAAAAUCGAGCAGGAAGGAAAAUAUAGCCUGCUUGAUGUGGAAGACAGGGAUAGCCUCUCUGAGGAGGUGACAUUUGACCCAAGACCUAAAUGAGGAGAAGGAGACAGUGAGAUGAAAAUGAGGGAAACAGCAAUGGCAAAUACAGAGAACUUGAGACAACUUGGCCCAUUGGAGGGACAGAGACAAAGCCAAUGUGGGACCACAGGGGAUGAAAGGGAGGCUGAUUGGAGAAAUAGGCAGUGCUGAGGCCAUAAAAGGUCCUAUAGGUCAUGGAAAGACAUUUGGUUACCAUUCUAAUGACAGUGAGAUGUUACUGGGGAGUUUUAAACUGGAGAAUGUCAUAACUGUCCAGAUGUAACCAAAUAGUAAAACCAUUCUUCCUGAAUAACUUGGCUAAAAGGAAUAUUAUGACUACAGAUGUACAUGAAGAUUAAGCAGAACAUGGAAGAAAGGCCUCAAGUAAACUUGACCUCACAUAAAUAUGGGAGGAAGAUCAAAUGGAAGCUGGGAGUGUUGAAAGAAUGUAAGGGGAAUGACUUCUAAUAAUGAACAAAAAGCUGUUAUUUUAUUAUGAAGAAAAAUGUUAUGCAUCUUAUGCAUGCAGAAGAAAUUCCCAUUCAAAAGACUUGGAAAAUGUCUUGGGUGUUUACUAUAAUAAACCUUUUAAGAUAUAGAAAAUUCACAUAUUUAGAGCUUAAUUUCUAAAGAGCUCAGACUUCUCAGUUUAUUAUAUGCUAUGAAAUUUUGUUUAUUUUUAAUUUAACCUACUUGUGUGCAAAAUCAAUAAGGAAGCUUAAGGAAUAUAAACAACUAUUUAACAUGGCCAUUUAAAUAGAUUCAAAGUAAAGAAUAUCAGCAUAGUGUUUCUUUGAUAUGACAACCCCUCCUCCCAGGGCACUUAAAUGAAGGGUUGGGGGGGAAUCUUAACCUGAAAUUGAAAACCCUGAAAUCAUGUUUCCAAGGAAGGAGAAGGAAAAUAGGAAAAACAAAAACAAAAAGCAGCAACUCAUUUGGAAGCUCGUGGGAGAGGAGAGGAGGAUUCAUACAUCUCGGACUGGUUUGCCUUAGCAAGUGAAUCAUUUAAAUAGGAAAAAACAGGGGGCUGACUCAGCUUGAGCAAACUCUUGCUAUCCCCUGCUGAGGUCCGCACUUGCUGUGGCCCCUGCCGCUCUCCUCGGACCUUGCUGCCCUCCUCCUUUGUCACUGUGGAGAAACAGGAAGGAAUGUUUAUUAGCAAGACUGACUGGGGUCACACCCAAGGCAAUAUCAGGUUUUUACCUCUCCCAGGCCUGGGAAGAGGUUCAAGGAUCAAGGACAAGCUCCCGGUUAGAGUGAGAGGCAAGUUCAAACCUUUGAAAAAUAAACUCACAACCAGCAUUUGGCACAGGCCUCUGGAGUUUACAGAAUGUAUCUGCCUGUGUGUGAUUUCAUUAGUUCCUCCUGCCAAUCUAAUGAGAUUUUACGUCCUGUAACAGUGAGGCAAUUGGAGUCUCAGCAGGGAAAGGAACUUGCCUAAAACUGCAGGAUGGGUAGCGCUUGGAUCCUGACUUUCUGACUCCUAGGACUGUGCUGUCUUCAGAUGAUCACAUGCCUUCUUGGCAGAUGUUUCUAACAAAGGAGAGAGUUGCCCAGGGUGGGGCUCUGCUAGCUCCCUUGUCAUGAGCCAUUCUCUCCACAUUGCCUUUUAGUUGCACCACAUAGUCACCUUCAAUUAGCUGUGCGAAUAGGCUCACUCUUAUGCUAACAUGUACUAAAAGUGAAAAUGGGGAGAGAGAGAGAGAGAGAGAAAGAGAGACACACAGAGAGAGAGACUCAUAUUAUGGUAUGUUCCCUGCCCCACCCCACUCCACUCCCUCUCAACAGGGAGAAAGUACCUGAAGAAAAUCAUUGCUAUGAAGGGCAUAGCCAGCUAAAUGGGUGUCACUUAGUCUGAAAAAUCUCAAAGAUGUCAAUAAGCCACUCGAGACAACAAGGAACCUGUUUUCCUGUCAUCAUUCCUUCUCAGUCCUUGGCUUUGGGAAGGGUAACUUUAUGGAGAGAGAAGAACCUCUGUGGAGUUAAAAGGUUUAUGAACUUUUUUCCCUGCAACAAAUCAGUGACAGCUGUUCCACAGGCUGAUGGUUUUCCCUUUACCUUUCGUUUUUUAACAGCUAUGUCUCACAGUCCAGACUUGGAGUACAAGUAAUAAGAAGAAUAAAACUUAAUCCCUUAAGUAGAUUCACCAUAAGUUAGCUCAGAGCAAUUCCAGUGCAAGUAUGGUCUGUGAUCCAGUAGGUGAGUGACUCUGCUGCUGAAAUUCACAUGUAUGUGAAUUUCACAGUGGCCUUUGCGGAAGAACAAGGAAGAAAAAAAGGGUCAUGAGCUUAUUCACUGCCAAUAUUUAUUAUAUGGAACAAUGACCAUCCUUCAGAAGUGUUUGUUCUCUAUUAUACUGUAGGUGUGGAAGAAUUAUCAUUGCUCAAUAGCUGUCUCAGUCACUACCUGAUAGACUUGGGAGGUCUGGCUAUUUCAGGGCGCAUUUGACAUACAGUGACAUUUUUGGAUUAAAGCUUUCAUGAUGAGUGCCAGUCUGGGUCCAAAAGGGUUGAAAGCUGUCGCCAUCUAUAGGCUAGUUGUUUGUAGUAAAAUACUUUCCCUCACUGCAUUAGGUUCUUGGUACCAUUUAUCUAGCAGAGUUCUUCAGUGGGCUUGAGGCUUAGCAGUCAAGUUAAAACAAUAACCAACAUCCCAAACCCAGUGGCUGUCAAAUUUCAGUGAGGUGGCAUAGAACUUUAGCAUGAACUUGAGCUUGGGUUCAGCUAGACUUUCAUAUAAAUCCUUGUUUGAAGUUAGUAGCUGUGUGAUCUUGGGCACUGAUAUUAAACCUUUAUGAGAAAGUUAUGUCUGAAAUAUGGGAAAUAAACCUUCCACUUAGGUUGUUGUGAAGAUUCAAUGAGUUGUAACGAUUGUAUACACUAUAAUGAUCUAUAUUACAGUUGUUUCAUAAAUAUGAUUGCCUUCAUUUUAUUCUUUCCUUGUCUCGUUCUUCCCAGUAUCUUACAGACAGCAAGUUGAACAUUGUGGGAUGCAUGAGCUAUUGAGGCCUUUGCAGCUUUCUGCUACAUGGAGGCUAGGGCCAGAGUCAAGAUUUAUGCUUUGCAGCACACUGGUCAGCUGUUUUUGCAAAUCAGAUUAAAUGAUUUUUAAAUGAGGCUGAGAGCAUGGGAGAUACUAAUGUGUGUUUCCUUGUGAGCUACUGCAUAAGUAAGUGCUUUGUAAAAUGUCAGGGGCUCCAGGAUUAUAUGGUAUUACUGUCACUAUUGUAAGCACUUCUACCUUUUUUUUCUCCUUUUACAGGUUAGGAAAUUGAAAUACAGAAAGAUGAAAAGUGAUUUGCCCAAGCAUAUAGAUCAAAGCUGUGGCAGAACCAGGACUGGAACCUAUAUCUCUCUACUAAUGGUUUUUUUAAAAAAAUAACCUUGUUUCAAAAAUAUUAAAAAGUCACAAGAAAGGUAAACAUGUGGAUAAACAAAAUGAAGAAAAUAAAAAUUAUCCAGUAAUAACAUAUUGGCAUAUGUCUUUCUGGUAUAUUUUCCUGUGUUGUCAUCAUUAUCAUCUCCAUCAUCAUUAUAUCCAUCAUUAUCAUCAUCAUCAUCAUCAUCAUCAUCAUUAUCAUCACCAUAGUGAACAUGUAAUGCUUACCUAGUGCCAGAUGCUGUCUAGGCAUUUUACAUGUGUUACUGGUAACUCAUGUAAUCCUCAUAACAACCUUAUAAGGUGGUUGCUAUUAUCCCCAUGUUACAUAUGAAGAGACAGAAGCAUAAAGAAGUUGCACCGCUGGUAAUUGGCUGGGAUUUGAACUUAAGCAGUCUAACCUUAGAGUAAUGAUUUUAACAACUAUGCUAUAUACAUACAAAUUUACAAAAUAAAACUGGGCUCAGACAAUAAAAACAGCUCUCUUUUCAUGUUAUUGCCUUCGCCUCCCAAAGUGCUGGUAUUACAGGCAUGAGCCACUGUGCCCAGCCUAAAUGUUUUCUUUAAAAGCAAGGUAAGUAUGCCUAGAUGCACUGCCUCUUAGUAAUUUUUGAGGAUGGAUUAUUCAUUAAAUUGCUUCCCUUUCUCACAGCUGGUGAAUUAGAACGAUAGUGAGCUUACAAGAGCUUUAACGAGGAAAAGAUGGUCAUUGUUUAACAGAGAAGGAUGGUUUGGGUGAGCAUUUUUGUGUUUUUGGAGGGGAACUUUGAGGGCAAUGAGUGUUGCACCUGUGUCCACUGAGGAUCUCUGGGCGGGGUAAAAGGAAGGCAGGGAUGAGAGUGAGGAAGGGAGACAGGAGGGUCCCAAAUACGAACUUUGACUUAACGAGGAUGAUUACUAGAAGGGAAAGAUUGUGGAUUCAUUGAUGAGAUGUUGAACCAUGAAAACUCUAAUUGUAGAACUCACUUCAGACUGAAUUGACUUGGCUUUCAGUAGCAGAAGCCCUUUGUCUACUUCUCUAGUAUUGAAGUGAAUGCAAAUUUCUCAAUGUAAGAAAAGUAGAGUGGUGAAAUAAGAGUGUGGGUUCCAGGGUCAGACAACUGGGUGCAUAAAAAGGGUAAGGAUGCUACAACUGGUAAGCCCUGUGAGAAUUAUUUAAUCCUUCCAUGUCUCAUUCCGCUCAUCUGGAAAAUGAUGAUCAUACUAACUUAUGAGAUGUGUGUACAGACUAGAUAUAAUAUUAAAACAUUU
This 9091-nucleotide long non-coding RNA is filed under the name Homo sapiens (human). Its description in RNAcentral is "non-protein coding CDKN2B-AS1:34". The stretch from base 5559 to 5708 matches the Rfam family "CDKN2B antisense RNA 1 intronic convserved region". The record is from RNAcentral. Lineage: Eukaryota; Metazoa; Chordata; Mammalia; Primates; Hominidae.